This 165-nucleotide ribosomal RNA is filed under the name uncultured Burkholderia sp. RNAcentral's name for it is "partial 16S ribosomal RNA". It matches the Rfam family "Bacterial small subunit ribosomal RNA", at positions 373 to 528 of the family's 1533-position model. Lineage: Bacteria; Pseudomonadati; Pseudomonadota; Betaproteobacteria; Burkholderiales; Burkholderiaceae. The record is from RNAcentral.
GAGGGGGACCUUGAUCCAGCAAUGCCGCGUGGUGUGAAGAAGGCCUUCGGGUUGUAAAGCACUUUUGUCCGGAAAGAAAUCGUGGGGGCUAAUACGUGCAGGGGGAUGACGGUACCGGAAGAAUAAGCACCGGCUAACUACGUGCCAGCAGCCGCGGUAAUACGA